Molecule: long non-coding RNA, 764 nt
Filed under: Nicotiana benthamiana
Lineage: Eukaryota; Viridiplantae; Streptophyta; Magnoliopsida; Solanales; Solanaceae
Description: long non-coding RNA (NBEN_LNC005986)
Source: RNAcentral
UUUCAAACCAUAUGAAUGCAAGUUUGAGCAAAAUUACCGGGAAACAACUUAAACCAAAUUCAGUAAACUCAUGAUCGAAGUUGACAUGCAUUUGAACCUAUGGUUAUGAAAUCACAAAAUCCAAAUAGUUUCAGCUAGCUAAUUUACAAGCCACAGUCCCUAAUUAUUACACAUUAUAGAGUCUAAACUACCUUAAAUCAGCUGAAUCCCAUUAAAUAUAAGUCCCAACCUUAAAACAAAAUGAAAGGCACAUAAGGAGCUAUAGUAAACUAAACAAACCAAAGUCAAAUUGAGCAGGAAAUAGAAAAUUAGUGUAGAUCAUUUCCUUCAAGUUUGGUUACAUGACUUCAAGUUUGGUUACAUGACUUCAUGUUUGCAUUUCACAUGCUACUCAGGAGUCAGUGCAUAACUGGAAAUCAAAAAUAAUAGAAAAGUGAGGGGAUCAACAGUGAACAGCAGCAGUCAACCCAGAUUUGAUCAAUUAAUAAUGAAAUCAGCCUAUGAAAAUCAAUGGAGCAGUUGAAAAACUCUAAAAACAACUCUAAACCAUGACUUAAGCCAUUUUUCAAAUCAAAUAUGUAACUAAGGAAACUUAAAGGACCUCAGCUAACACUAGAGAAAUCAUAAAUCCAAAUGAGAAAAUUUUGGUAGUUCUUUGAUAGUGGAAUGCAAGAAUUUAAGAAAUUUCUAAAGAAUUUUUAGCCGUCUCAACUUUUCAGGAUUUCUUCUCUCUUCAAAAAUCUGAUGAAGUAAGGGUGCCUUUA